CCUCGCUCAAGACCUGCCCCGCGGGGCGGGGUCGAAGGUGAGCGCCCCGCGCGCUGAUUGGCUGUAGGGGCGCUCGUGGCAGGGAGGGGCGGGGCGGACGCGGAACCGAUGUUAGUCUCGCGCGGCGGUCGCGAGCGCGUGAGGGAGCCUGUUCCUUGUCGCGCGCAGGUAGGCAGCAGCGGCAGCGGGAUUAGUAGGGGUCGUGUGAAGAAGCCAUGAAACACUAUGAGGUGGAGUUCUGGAAGCGUUAAGACAGCCGCUGAGCCUGCCUGGACACCUCUGUGUGGUGUCAGGAGGUGACGGGUCUUUCUCCCUUGGGACCCUGAGCGUGCUGGGGACACGGGAGCCUGAGGCCUGCGAGGAGCGGGCUCAGUCCCUGGGCUCCCU
Molecule: long non-coding RNA, 387 nt
Organism: Herpailurus yagouaroundi (jaguarundi)
Lineage: Eukaryota; Metazoa; Chordata; Mammalia; Carnivora; Felidae
Exons: 3
Source: RefSeq, a predicted model, not a curated record